This 449-nucleotide ribosomal RNA is filed under the name uncultured bacterium. Its description in RNAcentral is "partial 16S ribosomal RNA". It matches the Rfam family "Bacterial small subunit ribosomal RNA", at positions 28 to 523 of the family's 1533-position model. The record is from RNAcentral.
GACGAACGCUGGCGGCAGGCUUAACACAUGCAAGUCGAACGCAUCCUUCGGGGUGAGUGGCAGACGGGUGAGUAACGCGUGGGAACGUGCCCUUCAGUUCGGAAUAACCCAGGGAAACUUGGGCUAAUACCGGAUACGUGCGAGAGCAGAAAGAUUUAUCGCUGAAGGAUCGGCCCGCGUCUGAUUAGCUAGUUGGGGAGGUAAUGGCUCACCAAGGCGACGAUCAGUAGCUUGUUUGAGAGGAUGAUCAGCCACAUUGGGACUGAGACACGGCCCAAACUCCUACGGGAGGCAGCAGUGGGGAAUAUUGGACAAUGGGCGCAAGCCUGAUCCAGCCAGGCCGCGUGGGUGAUGAAGGCCUUAGGGUUGUAAAGCUCUUUCAGUGGGGACGAUAAUGACGGUACCCGCAGAAGAAGCCCCGGCUAACGUCGUGCCAGCAGCCGCAGUAA